CAUGUUGCAGCGAUGCAGAGCCUCAUGCAGCUGCGGCUCAGGAGCCUCAGAGCAUCAGGACGGUUAAAAGACGGACUGAUGUGUGUGUUUCUGAAGCUGCUGCUCUCCUGGGAUUCUCCCACACAGACGUCUGCAGGGGGGAAAAACAACAAUUCAGAGAGCCGCAGCUCUGCAGGUGGAAAAACCGCUGGUUGAUGAGGGAGGUCAGAGGAGAAGGGUCAGAACUGGUUCGAGCUCAGAGAGAGAGGCACAGUUACUCAGCAGGAAAUAAGCACAAGACUUUUCCAGCCAACAACAAAAAAAACUGAGGCUGCAGUGGGAACAGGCUCAUCAUCACCAACCAGCCUGGGGUGAUAAAUCCUCUUUCUGCUCAGGCUGCAGACAGUCGGGUCAGAAAGUGGCAGCAACAGCGUGAAUCCCUGAACCCAACCUGCCUCCUGUCAGUGGUCCGAGCUGCUGCUGGUGCUGCUGCUGGUGCUGCUGGUGGGAGGGUAAUGUGUGUGGCUACAUUUUUAGGGGCCGACAAUGCAAAUCAAUCAUUGUUUAUACGACACAGCUUGUCUGAGUAUUGCUGUUGACCACGUGCAUCUCUUUAUAGCCACAGUCGAUCAUCUUUUAAUGUCUAAUUCUACCGUGAUAAUGGACAAUGUCACACAGGUCGUCUCAAACAGCUGUGAACAUCCGUGUUGAGAGCAGAGGAACUACACCGACAGUACAAGUGUUCUGGAUAUAAAGAGCUGAGUACAGUUACAGUUGCACUUCUGGAUUCUGUGCGGUAGAGGGCAGUGAGUAAUUGUUGCUGUGGAUGUGAGGAGUGUCUCAUCCUCAGCGACGACGAUGGGAGACGCUGUGGAUCCAGGAAUAGACUCCACCGUUCUCCACACAGCGGUUUUCUCUGUUUACUCCUUUAGUGACAUGUGAAAAGACAAAUAUUUGAUUGUAUAAGAUGUCGUGCAAGUGGAAUUAACCAUUAGACCCUAAAAAGUCUGUUUUUGCUAUAAACACAUUGCAACUUAUCAGUAUGAAUAAGAUUUGUUCCUCCAAGAUGUAAAGAACGUCUCUAAACAUCCCAUCACUCUUUCAAGAUUUGGACUGAGACUUUUCCUUUUCACUCUUUUUAAAACCUAGUAUCUACUCUCUAAAAAGAGAUGGAUUCAAUAAACCUCGGGCAACUAUUAAUUUAUUUA
Molecule: long non-coding RNA, 1187 nt
Organism: Hippoglossus stenolepis (Pacific halibut)
Lineage: Eukaryota; Metazoa; Chordata; Actinopteri; Pleuronectiformes; Pleuronectidae
Exons: 2
Source: RefSeq, a predicted model, not a curated record